UGGGGAAUUUUGGACAAUGGGCGCAAGCCUGAUCCAGCCAUGCCGCGUGCGGGAAGAAGGCCUUCGGGUUGUAAACCGCUUUCGUCAGGGAAGAAAUCUUCUGAGUUAAUACCUCGGGAGGAUGACGGUACCUGAAGAAUAAGCACCGGCUAACUACGUGCCAGCAGCCGCGGUAAUACGUAGGGUGCAAGCGUUAAUCGGAAUUACUGGGCGUAAAGCGUGCGCAGGCGGUUUUGUAAGACAGAGGUGAAAUCCCCGGGCUCAACCUGGGAACUGCCUUUGUGACUGCAAGGCUUGAGUGCGGCAGAGGGGGGAUGGAAUUCCGCGUGUAGCAGUGAAAUGCGUAGAUAUGCGGAGGAACACCGAUGGCGAAGGCAAUCCCCUGGGCCUGCACUGACGCUCAUGCACGAAAGCGUGGGGAGCAAACAGGAUUAGAUACCCUGGUAGUCCACGCCCUAAACGAUGUCAACUGGUUGUUGGGAAGGUUCCUUCUCAGUAACGUAGCUAACGCGUGAAGUUGACCGCCUGGGGAGUACGGCCGCAAGGUUGAAACUUAAAGGAAUUGAC
This 567-nucleotide ribosomal RNA is filed under the name uncultured bacterium. RNAcentral's name for it is "partial 16S ribosomal RNA". It matches the Rfam family "Bacterial small subunit ribosomal RNA", at positions 355 to 914 of the family's 1533-position model. The record is from RNAcentral.